This 301-nucleotide long non-coding RNA is filed under the name Sinocyclocheilus anshuiensis. RNAcentral describes it as "lncRNA (ENSSANG00000051776.1)". The record is from RNAcentral. Lineage: Eukaryota; Metazoa; Chordata; Actinopteri; Cypriniformes; Cyprinidae.
AGAAGUUCAUCUGUGCAUCAUUGACUGUGAGGGGCUGCAAUGCAGAACGGAUGGAAAUGCAGGAAAAUAUACCGGGAUCUGUAGGGGGCAGAGAGAAAGACAGAGACGAAGAGAGCACAUUAUCACACAUAGUCAAAAGAUCUCCAAAUGCUUCGGGUCCCAUAUUAGGUACUGAUUCUCCAGCAGAAAGCAAGUUAAUGAGAAAUAUAUCGACACACUGGUGUUACUGUGGACCUGUAGCAAGAACGGAGUUACAUCUGCUUACGGCUGUUACACUGUGAGCUAGAAGCCUGGAUAUGAG